Molecule: ribosomal RNA, 407 nt
Filed under: uncultured bacterium
Lineage: Bacteria
Description: partial 16S ribosomal RNA
Rfam family: Bacterial small subunit ribosomal RNA
Source: RNAcentral
AUUGAACGCUGGCGGCAGGCCUAACACAUGCAAGUCGAGCGGAGCGGCGGACGGGUGAGUAAUGCCUAGGAAUCUGCCUGGCAGUGGGGGAUAAUGUCCGGCAACGGGCGCUAAUACCGCAUACUAUCAGAUGAGCCUAGGUCGGAUUAGCUAGUUGUUGGGGUAAAGGCCUACCAAGGCGACGAUCCGUAACUGGGCUGAGAGGAUGAUCAGUCACACUGGAACUUAGGCGCGGUCCAGAAUCCUACGGAGGGCAGCAGGGGGGAAUAUUGGGCAAUGGGCAAAAGCAUGAUCCAGCCAUGCCGCUUGUGUGAGAGAGGUCUUCGGAUUGUAAAGAGCUUUAAGUUGAAAGGCAUUACCAAAAGAAUAAGCACCGGCUAACUACGUGCCAGCAGCCGCGGUAAUUG